This is a non-coding RNA of Vibrio sp. MED222, 113 nucleotides long. NCBI's taxonomy places the organism in Bacteria, Pseudomonadati, Pseudomonadota, Gammaproteobacteria, Vibrionales, Vibrionaceae. The record is from Rfam.
AAAGAAGUAGUAUGCCGCAGCGUAUCCAUAACGGGCUUUGCUGCGGAUAAUUCUUUUAUGAACCCCCUUAGGAGUGAAUAAUGGCCCGUAUAGCCGGCAUUAACAUUCCUGAU